This is an RNA transcript of Cucurbita pepo subsp. pepo (vegetable marrow), 1321 nucleotides long. It is a transcript of the gene named Haloacid dehalogenase-like hydrolase (HAD) superfamily protein, with no coding region annotated. The record is from RefSeq and is a predicted model, not a curated record. Lineage: Eukaryota; Viridiplantae; Streptophyta; Magnoliopsida; Cucurbitales; Cucurbitaceae.
UGGUUAAACAGAAAUGCAUGAUUAGUUGGCAAACAGGCCUCGCAUUUAGUUAAAUACAAUCGGCGGGCGGACGGGUAGAGGAGAGAGAACUGCAUUCCGGACGGCAUCGGAUAAACCGGAGGGCAAGGACAACUGCAGGCAACGCAAUUUUCUGGAAGAUUUUUGAACCUAAACCGCCACAACGCGCCAUUGGGGGUGAUGGUAUUGUACAGCAUUAGAUGCUCGCACGGCUGGAGUUUCUUUAGAGCCGUCAAGCCCACCCCCCUUUCUCUCAAAACGAGUAUCCACAAGCCCCGCCUCUGCUCUAACAUGCCAAUACAAAACGUUUAUGGAGGCUCAGUUCAUCGAGUUUAUGAUGCAUUGCUGUUGGAUGCUGGAGGAACGUUAUUGCAGUUGGCAAAGCCAGUUGAAGAGACUUACGCAUCCAUUGGAUCCAAAUAUGGUCUAGUAAGCACUCCUGCUGAUAUAAAGCAAGGAUUUAAGAGGGCAUUUUCUGGUCCAUGGCCUCAAAAGCUUCGUUACCAGGGAGAUGGAAGGCCAUUUUGGAAACUUGUCGUUUCAGAAGCCACUGGUUGUGCUGAUGAUAAUUACUUUGAAGAUGUCUAUCAGUACUAUGCAAAUGGUGACGCAUGGCAUCUUCCACCUGGAGCUUAUGCAGCCCUGACCGUUUUGAAAGAUGCUGGAGUAAAGGUGGCUGUUGUGUCCAACUUUGACACUCGCUUAAGGAAGCUGUUGAAGGAUCUAAAUGUGUUAGAUAUGUUUGAUGCUGUCAUAAUUUCGGCAGAAGUUGGUUAUGAAAAACCAGAUGGACAAAUAUUUGAAGCUGCGUUAGAAAGAUGAGGUUGGAUGGUUUGUUGUAGAUGAACUCGGAGUGGCAGCGAACAAAGCAGUACAUGUUGGAGAUGAUCAGAAGGCAGACAAGGAGGGAGCAAAUGGUGUCGGAAUAGCUUGCUGGCUAUGGGGAAAAGAUGUGACGACCUUCCAGGACGUUCAGAACCGAAUCCUCAUUUGUUCUUGAAAUGAGGACAUGGGUAUGAAUCUUGGCUGGUUUCUUUGGAACUCCUUAUACUUAUUUGCAUCAGGCUUAGGUUAAACUUGUUUGCAAAAUUCUGAUAGGGAAUAAAGAGAACACUAGAAUCUAUACUUGUUUGCAUCAAGCUUAGGUUAAACUAGAAUUCCAAGUACUAUAAUCAGGUAACAUUUGUUCGUGAAACCUCUAUUCAUAGAGCAUACAUUAUCCUAAAUCAUUGGUUUGAAAUUAGUUAUUAGUUAGAUAUUUAACCUUUUAUGGAAGAUAUACUAAAAAAAUAUUGUUAAGCAA